AGACCGAUAGCAAACAAGUACAGUGAUGGAAAUUUGCAAAGAACUUUGAAGAGAGAGUUAAAAGUACGUGAAACUGUGUGGUUGUAAACGAAGCCUCCCUCGAAGUGUUCCCGGGCGAACCCAACCUAGGGCUGGGGCAGCUCUUGCCACCUGAUCAGCAAUGACUGGUGGCGGGAUGCUUGCUCUGGCCACGGGUGCAUCUUUGCCCGGGUUUACGGCAGGAACUGUUGGGACUGGACCGAAGGCCUGGGAUGAAGUUUUCGCUUCGGCGUUAGCUCCCGGUGUCCUGGCUCCGGACCCGACAGGCAAAUCCGUGCGGACUUGUACAGCAAGCAACGCUUCUGUUGCGGUCCGCCGUUCCCUGCCGAGUAGGUCGGUGAAGGCUUCGACCCGUCUUGAAACACGGAC
RNAcentral lists this ribosomal RNA (408 nucleotides) under Pontellina plumata. Its description in RNAcentral is "partial 28S ribosomal RNA". It matches the Rfam family "Eukaryotic large subunit ribosomal RNA", at positions 331 to 666 of the family's 3401-position model. Lineage: Eukaryota; Metazoa; Arthropoda; Copepoda; Calanoida; Pontellidae. The record is from RNAcentral.